This 20-nucleotide unclassified non-coding RNA is filed under the name Chlamydomonas reinhardtii. RNAcentral describes it as "small RNA Cre_2277". The record is from RNAcentral. Lineage: Eukaryota; Viridiplantae; Chlorophyta; Chlorophyceae; Chlamydomonadales; Chlamydomonadaceae.
UAGAGGCCUACCAUGGUGGU